UACAAUGUGUGUAUAUUUAUUGAUAGAACUAUCAGUUAUGUAUAAAUCUGCAUUAUUCUUUUUCCUUGGCUGUUGAUGAUCCAGGUCGACAUCGGGUUUCUUCUAAUCAAGUGAUCAGGAUACAUAACAGCUGGCCCCUAACCAAGUGUGCAGGUUAAGAAAGUUCAACUUGUUGAUGCAACUCAGCUCUGUUGAAAGCAAAAGAAAGGAAGAAUACCAGGAAUGUAAGAAUGAGCCUCAGGACCAAAAAGCCUUUGUGGAACAAGAAAGACACACACAUCAAAAAGGAAUAAAAAGGCAGGGAAAGUAAAAAAGGCCUUGACUUUCCCACUCUGCUACCAAGGUAUCAGCAUCAGGAGGAGAGCCCAUUAAAGAGAUUCACAUCCAUUGGAAAGAUGAUGCAGAUGGUGGCUCCCUACCAAAAUAAACAAUAGGUAUGCACCAGUGCCACAAGAUGCUUCAUCUAAUGCCCACACUUUACCUGAAACUGGCACAGCAUAGGCAUGUGUCUCAUACUUUCCCUAGACUUGAAAGACCUCAGAUUCUAGGUAAUGCCUAGAAGGUUAUGGCCAGUAAUAGAUUAUGUGAGAUUGGCACGCACAUCCUUUUUCUGGUUGUUCUGCUGGUUCAUGAUGAUCCAAGUGGCAGUACUGCCAUGGUUGAGAGUUAUAGCCAAACCAUUCCCUGUUCCUUACCUUUAAAUGCUUCCAAAAUGAGGUAAAAUUAGUCGAGUAGCUAUCAGAUGAACGAAAAAGAGGUGGACAGAAAGAAAUAUUGGCUUCAGAAGUCUAUUAAUCUAUGUUGGCUGCUGGAAAAGAGUUGUUAUAAUGCAUCUCCAAGAGCUACCGACAGCAAGCCGAGACUUGUCAGAGAUAAGGAAAGCAGAAGAACAAAAAGACGACCAAGCAAACCAAAGUCGAAACUUCCAUUGAAGGAUAGAGAAGUUAAUAUAUGAGCUUGCAAGUCACUGAGAGCAAGAAGAACAUUAGAAGAAGUACAGGGACUCAAGACUGUAACAAGCUUUAUUUUGCACUCUUAUUACCAUAUCUAUUCACACAAGAAAAAUCAAUGCACACAGACCUGUAAAAAAAAUCAGGAAAAUUCUGUCACCCAAACCUUGCAAAUUGAGUUGUAACUUUCCA
Molecule: non-coding RNA, 1142 nt
Organism: Musa acuminata subsp. malaccensis (wild Malaysian banana)
Lineage: Eukaryota; Viridiplantae; Streptophyta; Magnoliopsida; Zingiberales; Musaceae
Source: RefSeq, a predicted model, not a curated record